Molecule: long non-coding RNA, 3021 nt
Organism: Oryzias melastigma (Indian medaka)
Lineage: Eukaryota; Metazoa; Chordata; Actinopteri; Beloniformes; Adrianichthyidae
Exons: 3
Source: RefSeq, a predicted model, not a curated record
CCGGAUUUCUUCAUCUGCGUGGUUUUCUGGAGAGUCCAGACUGCAGACUGCAGACUCUGUGGUUGAGGGAUUGCAGUUUGUCAAAGAUCAGCUGUGUCGCUCUGGUCACAACUCUGAAGCUCAACCUGUCCCACCUGACAGAACUGGACCUGAGAUACAACAACCUUCAGUCUUCAGAUGUUCAGCAGCUCCAGGAUCUGGUGGAGAGUCCAAACUCCAAACUGCAGACUCUGAGGUGGUGUGGUGGAAGCCUCCGGUACUCCUGGUGGAGCAGAGAGGAGGAUCAGUAGCAGCUGGUCUGCAGAGAUGUUGUUCCUGGAGGUGAAGAGCAGAGUGAUGGAGGAAUCAGAGGAAGUGGAGAUGAAUGUCAGAGCUGCGGCAUGAACUGAUCUGUGAUCAGCUCCACUGUCUCUCUCAGCAUUAAGUGGACAGUUAUUGUGCUGCAGCUCCCCCGGUGGACUAAUGGAGAACUGCACUUCAUCUUCUCAUUCUAACUUGGAGUGUUGGGAAGUCUUCUGCUUCCCUUCUCUCUCGUAUUUGGAGCUUCUCUUAACUUUGUCCACACACUCUUGCUGUAGUUUUCUCCUCCUCAUGUGUCCUGAAACUGUUUCUCUGAAUGAUCUGUGUUGGUGAUUCAUCAGAUUCAGACAUGAUGGUUUCCUGCAGAAGCUCAGAAGUCUUUUCUGGUGUUUCUUGGACUCCUGCACGUCUCUGUACCACAGAGUGGACCAGCAUUCUCUGAACAUCCUUCAGCUGGUCCAGAAAGCAGCAGCAUGACUGUUGACCAGAGAAAGAAAACCUUCCAGCAGUUCUGGCCUCAGGAUUCUCCAUCUGGGAGCAUUUUGGUUCUUCUUUUUCAUCUUUAUCAGACCUUUCAGAACCACAAAGUGGACUGAGUUCCACUGAUUAAAGGCUGCUGGGUUUUGUAUGUUGUUCAUUAUUUUACAGGAUUUUGUUCUAUUGUAACCAUGGUAACUGUGGGAACCACACUCCUGUUUACUCUGAGUCCUGAAGCAGAAAUCCCACCAGAACUAACAAAAGUCUCCCAGUUGAAUCAUUUUUAUUUCAAGGAUCCAUUUUGGGACCUCUUUGAUUUAUUAUAUAUAUUAAUGAUUUAAUACGUUCUUGUAAAACCAUCUUCCCUCUCAUGUUUGCAGAUGAUAAGUGUAUUCUUAUAGCCAACUCAAAUUUGGAUUCCUUAAUAAAGCAAAUGGAGAAUUAUUGAAUAUUUCUGAGUGGUUUAAAUUAAAUCAACUUUCUUUAAAGACGAAUUACAUGAGUUUUAGUAAUAAAAUGAAUGCAUUCAAUUUAGUAAAUCAAAAACUUAAUAUUGACAGCAUUUUUAUUAACCAAGUUACUCAAACAAAGUUCUUGGGAGUGAUUGUUGAUCAAAACUUAACUUUGAAAAAUCGUACUCAAAAUAUUUGUAAAAAAGUUAUGAAAUCAGUUGGUAUUUUGAACUAAAUUCACUCCUCUAUAAACACACCUUACAUGAUGAAGUUGUGCUACACUUUAAUUUAUCCAAACUUUAUCUACUGUAAUAUGAUUUGGGGCAAUACAUGUACAGUAUAUUUGAAUAAUUUGUUACUGUUACAAAAAAGAUUCCUACGUGUCAUUAGUUUCAAAUAGACUAUCUCCUACAAUUCCUUUAUUCAAAAAAUAUAAGAUAUUAAGAAUAUUUAAUAUUAAUACACAUUGUAUCUGUGUCUUUAUGUUUAAGGAUCGGUCAAAGGUUUUACCAACAUCGUUUGCUGAUUUUUUUAUGUUUUCUUCUGAUGUUCAUGUUUAUCCAUCAAGACGCUGUGAUUAUUUCUAUCUUCCUGUUUGUAGAACUUCCAUUAAUCAAAAUACUACAAAGUCCAGAGGGCCAAAACUUUGGAAUAAUCUAAACUAUACUCUUAAAUCUAUUUCUUUGUUAGAGACAUUUAAAAAACAGUUAAAAUUAAACUUACUUUUAUCAACUUUUUCAACAAGUGUGAAUAGGAUCAAAUGUAACAUUUUUAUUUAGCUUGACAUGUCUGUUUCUGUUGAUUAUGUUUUGGGGAGGUGGUUAUAUAAGACCUGUGUAGGUCUUCACUCUCUCCUGCACGGAUGUAUUUCAGUUGUAUUUGUCAGUGUAAUCCAUGUGAUUGCAUUUAUGUAUGUGGAAAUAAAAAAAAAAUAAAAAAAUAAGUUUAUCUGUUAAACUAUUUAGUUUUGUUUUUUUUCUUUUAUUUGUAGUCUGUAUUCGUUUGCCACUUUUUAAUUUUAUUUAGUUCUGAACUCACAGCAUUACUUAUAUCUGUCGUUACAACAUAAGUCGUCUUUUUUUGGUUCAAAAGUCCAAACAAAUGAGUCCAUCUCCACAGUGGACAGAACAGCUCUAGCUGUGAGCUCUGAGCUCACUGUUCUCUUUCUUUAAAAAACUGGCGGAGGCGGGCUACCUUGUUCAUAGUUCUGUGACACGUAAUGACGAUGAAAGUAUGAGUGCAGGGUGUUAUGGAGUAAAUGGUGGACUGUAUGACUGAUUCGGGUUUUGGGUAUAACAAUAAACAAGAUGGUGUGCCGAUCAGAGCACAGGAAGGUAAGGAAGAGAUGAGGCUCCACUUGGCAGAUGUUCUGAAUUUAUUCCAGAGGUGAAUAGUAUUCACAUAAAAAGUCAGUAAAUAACAAAGGAUGUAUCUUAUAAUACCAUAAAAGGCAUAAAAAAUAUUUAAUGUAAUUAAAGUAUAACAACAAACAAGGGAAAAUGACUGCAUCAUCACAAGCCUAGAGUCCUCAUAACAAAUGAAAUAAUCAAAUCUGCUUUAAACCCAACUUAAAUAUCAUUUCUCAAUAAAACGGGCAAACAGCGACCUCUAAUGGUCGAGAAAAUUACUGCAGGGGAAAAGGAGGGGGGUUCUCUCCCCCUUCUUCCAGCAGGAAGUUAACAUUGCUCAUUUUGCUGCUCCUCCAUGUUCACUCUACAAAUGGUUCUGGCCCUGGCCUAUUUAAACAUAUUCACCAGCCUUUACAAUUAUAUAGGCACAUUAGGCUGCACCU